UGCCAGACUCCUACGGGAGGCAGCAGUGAGGAAUAUUGGUCAAUGGUCGGGAGACUGAACCAGCCAAGCCGCGUGAGGGAGGAAGGUACAGAGUAUCGUAAACCUCUUUUGUCAGGGAACAAAGGCGGGGACGUGUCCCCGGAUGAGUGUACCUGAAGAAAAAGCAUCGGCUAACUCCGUGCCAGCAGCCGCGGUAAUACGGAGGAUGCGAGCGUUAUCCGGAUUUAUUGGGUUUAAAGGGAGUGCAGGCGGUUCAAUAAGGCUGAUGUAAAAGCCGUCGGCCCAACCGGAGGACCGCCGUUGAAACUGGCAGUCUCGAGUUGGAGAGAAGUAUGCGGAAUGCGCGGUGUAGCGGUGAAAUGCAUAGAUAUCGCGCAGAACUCCGAUUGCGAAGGCAGCAUGCCGGCUCCACACUGACGCUGAGGCACGAAAGCGUGGGUAUCGAACAGGAUUAGAUACCCGCGUAA
Molecule: ribosomal RNA, 467 nt
Filed under: uncultured bacterium
Lineage: Bacteria
Description: bacterial SSU rRNA
Rfam family: Bacterial small subunit ribosomal RNA
Source: RNAcentral